AGAAGAGUGAAGAAGAGAAGAGAAGGAAGAAGAGACUUGUGUGAGAUGAAGAGAAGUAACCAGGGGGCUAGAUAAAGAAGUGGGAGGACCUUCUUGUGAAGAAAGAAGAGAAGGAAGAGGGUUAAUGUGUAAACUUUGCAGAUCAGAUCGAGGGGUCAAAAUCCCUAGCACAACCACCGACCCCCUUUGAGCCUGGCAUCUCCAUCUCUCUGCCCCUCACCACUUCUUCUCCCACCUUCGGCCGCCGUCGCGGCCAGGCCAUCGUGGCGGCGCGCCUCCGCGACUUCGCUGCUCCACCAGCGCCUUCACCCACCAGCACCACAUCAUCCAGCCACCACUCCGUCUUCGCCGCCAUCACCUUGGGCGCUCCACUUCGUCGCCGCGCCUGGCGCGCCCGACCAGACGGGUGUCUGGUUCCCCGCGCCACCUGCUGCUGCUCUCUCCCUCUCCGCUGCUCCUCCCCUCGUCUCCACUUCCUCUGCUUCUCUUCUUCUUCUCCUAACCCUGCUGUUGCUCUUCUUCUUCUUCUCUCAACGCUCCUGCUGCUCCUUCUCCUUGCAUCCCCUUGCUGUUGUUGCCUCAACCUGCUGCUUCUUCUCCAAUCCCCACGCUGCUCCUAUUCCCUUUCCUUGCUGGUGUUCCUUUACUGAAGAAAACAACCUGCUGUUGUUCUUUACUUGUUGCUGAUCCUGUACUUCUCUGAAUCCCGAACUGCUGCUUCUCUCACUCUUUUUCUUGCAAAAAUAUUGUACGAUGCCCUGUAAGAAUUGGUGAAUUGUCCAGUAUUAAAGUGGUUUAGUAAUAUUCUGUUGAUCUGCGAGUACUAGUUUAGUGGCUUGUGUAAUUUCGUUUGUGUUGUCACUCGUGUAACCUGAACCUUGGUGUAGUACCUUGUGCCCAUAUGUGUGGCUAUGUGUGUACUGUAGUUCCUGCGUCAACUAUGUUCAUGUGAAAAUAUAUAUGUUUGUGCUGUGAUAUAUAUUUGUCCCUGUCAUAUUAUCUUGUAUCUUUCCUCUGUUAGAUGUUUGAUAGUUAUAUAUGUGUCUUUGUCAUGUUAUUUUCCUUUUGUUUUAGUCUCUAAUUUCUCCUGCCUAAUAAAAUAUCAAAAAGACAACUAGUACUCUCUCCUUACUGUUUGUCAUUUUUAUUUGUCACUGUCCUUGGUUAUUUUAGGUUUAUAUUUUCUUGCGAUCAUCAUCUGAAUUUUCACCUAGCUUUAGCCUAGUAUAGUCGCUGUCGCCUAGUCCCUGUGGUGAACACGACAUCCGUAGUUUGGGGCGUAAAAACCCCGCUAUACUUUCAAUUGAUCAUUUUGGCGCCGUUGCCGGGGACUAGCGUCGAGUGACUGUGUUAGGUAAUAGACUAGGUUUUUCUUCUUUUUUAAUUUGUGCCAUAUAUUUGUGAUAUAUAUCUAACACCUAACCACUGUUCUAGUUAUCUUCUCUUUCUUUUCUUGUUCAUUUUGUAGGCUGAAUUGUCUUCUUGGAAAUGGCAUUCUACUCAGAUCAUCAUGCUUAUGUGAACAAUUGCACAAAUAGCUCGGAAAGUGUUGAAGACCUGAUAAGUAAGAUUUCCCAUCGAUUAGAUGAUUUAGCCCGGCAGCGAGGUAUUGUUUUUGAGGAUAGGCCUAGCUCUUAUGAUCCUUAUUCUAGAGGCCAUCCUUAUGUUGCUCCUACAUGCCAUAUUUGUGGAUUUCAGGGCCAUUCACCCGCUGAAUGCCAGCGUGGUUACCCUCACCCUCCGAAUUGUUUUGGUAUGAGCUUUGCUCAACAGCAUAGCUCAUGCCAAAACAAUUACACACAUGGGUGGCCUGAAAACCAGAAUAUGUCAUAUAGGAACAACAACCCUGAGAUCUCACUGUUUGCUUUUAGUAAUCAUAUGCAGGGAUUUAGGUAUGAAGGGGAGAGCAACAACUAUGCACCACAACAAUGCUAUUCACCUCCUACUCAUAUACCUCAACACCAGGAGAUGUUGCCAAUGGAGUUAAAUGAUCCUCCAUUUGGUCAACCAACACCUUCAACACAAGUUCCCACACAAGAUGACUUCGAUGAUAUAGACAAGCUCACAUUGCUUAGUCUCGAGUUCACUUGGAGUGCCGAAGAUGAUCCAAUUAGGCCGGUGAUACUAGAGGAAAUGAAGAAGAUCAAGAGUGGAAAAGAGCUAGUGGAAGAAGUAAGGAAGAUUGAGAAGAACAUCAACGCUGGCAGUACUAUCUCAUCCCUCCUUGAGCUUAGUGCUGCUGAGAUCUCUAGUCAUACAUGUGAGGUUCCAACGCCGUCACAUCCAGCUACGCAAGAUAGCAAGAGCCUUGAGGAAGAGAUACCUCAGAUUGAAGAAGAUGAACUAGAAGACGAGGAAAAAGAUGAUCCAGAGCUCAACUACCCAAGUGAUCAAGUCGAAGACCUUGAAGAUCCAAUGUAUACCCUUCCUGAAGAAGUAAAACAAGCUCCUGUAGUUGAAGAUGAAGAACCAGAAAUUCAUUUGCCCAUCGUCAUACAAGAGCGUGAUGUAGCAGGUUUAUCUAAUCCUCUUGAUGACAUGCGUCCAUAUGAAUUGUUUGCUACUACCUUGCAUUACAUGAUACCAUCACUUAAGAUUGAUUUGAAAACUCAUUUGCUUGGAUAUGAUGAUACAUACACUGUUGGUGGUAUCACUCUCAUUUAUGAUUGUGACACUUAUUCUCCUCAUGCUAGUCCUUUGCUUAAUGAAACAUAUCAUUCCAAUGCUAAUCUUGAGCUUAAUGAUAAAUAUCAUCCUCAUGUCAGUGUUGACCUUGCUGAUUUCUACCAUCCUAAACAUGUGCUUUAUAGCUAUGCUUAUGUAAUUGGAUACUCGAUGAUGACUUGGAGGGUAUUAUCCCUACCGCUUGCAUUGUCUCUUUUGUGGAGUGUUCUUUCAGGUUUUUGCUACUGCACCGUUUACUACAUGCUGACCAGGUUCGAGGUGACAUUCCUUGGGAUCCCGGUGGAUUCACGGUAUGGUGAUGAGAAGCAAAGAGCACACAUGAGGAAGAGCGAAGCUGGAGCUUGCAUGUGGAAGCAAAAGAAGAAGAGCAUCAGCUUAGAGAGUGAUCAAGCGAGUGCUACAUGAUCAAAGCCCGGUGAGCUGUUUCGUGAUCCAUUCUGAAAUUAUCAUCCAUUGAUGCUUGCUGAAUUGAAUUGCUAUUUGGACUGCAUAUACCAGUAAUGAUAUGCUUUCAAGCUAAAUUCUACCUUUGGCAUAUUGAGCUUGAUGUGAAUUAGUGUACCAUGAUUUCUGAAUGCCUUGUAAACUAGUGAUCCACAUAAUGCCUGCUUUGCUGAAAUUAGUGAGAACUAUUAGUUUUGAGUGCUCAAAUCCCUAGUACACUAGAAAACUUUGUCAUUUUCUGCAUUUACUAUGAUACACCUAGAUCACCAUGUUUAGAUGCUGAGUUUGUGCCUAAUGUGUUCCCAUUCAGAGCAAUCACUUACCACUAUGGAUUAGCAUGCUAUGUUCUCUGGAUCGGUAGCAUGUGAACUAGACAUGGAUGAGUGAUGAUUCUUGUUUUUGUUCAUUUGAAAAAUGAAAAAAAAUCUUAUAAUGAAUAAUAAGUCUGACUACCUACAGUAGCAUGUCAUGUUCCCUGGAUCGGUGGUUAGUUUGGGCAGUAAUUAAUAAAUAAAUAUGUAAUUGUCGAACCAGGUGUAUACCAUGUUCUCUGGAUCGGUGGUAUGUUCCUUUGGGGAGACAAACAUUUUUUUUAAUAAUAAUUGGUUGAGCCAGGUGUAUACCAUGUUCUCGGGAUCGGUGGUAUGUUCCUUUGGUGAGACCAAUAAAAUAAUAUGUGUGUUUCUUUCAAAUUCAAUAAGUGGUUCACAACUUCCUUUUAUUCUCGGGAUCAUGCUCUCUUUAGGAACCUUUUGGCACAGUCAGCAUUUGAACUUGCUAAUCUUCGUUUAUCAUUGCAAAAGUUUAAAAUGGUCGAGUUUAAUAGUGUCCUAUUGAUAUGUAGCACUCUUAACCAUUAAUUUUCACUAGCCAAGUCCAAAGCAUGCAUUGUUUGGAGAUCUACUUCACUUGGCAUUCUUUACUCGGUUCACUGUUCACAUUCUUGCUCUUGUCAUAUGCCUUUGCUUGAGGACAAGCAAAGAUUUAAGUGUGGGGGAACUUGAUAAGUAUAUUUCACAUAUAUAAUUUUGGUACUUAAAUAUAGCAUCUAUCGUGAUAUAUUCGUCCAUUCUUGCCAUGAUUGAUUGAAUAUUGCUUGAUAAUCAUAAAAAGGAUCAUUUACUAGUCUUUGGUCUAUCUUGCAGAAAUGUGCGCAAAGGCACUAAUAAUCGUCAAGAUUUCGUCUAUGUGGCUAUCGAGAAGAGUGAAGAAGAGAAGAGAAGGAAGAAGAGACUUGUGUGAGAUGAAGAGAAGUAACCAGGGGGCUAGAUAAAGAAGUGGGAGGACCUUCUUGUGAAGAAAGAAGAGAAGGAAGAGGGUUAAUGUGUAAACUUUGCAGGUCAGAUCAAGGGGUCAAAAUCCCUAGCGCAGCCACCGAUCCCCUUUGAGCCUGGCAUCUCCAUCUCUCUCCCCCUCACCACUUCUUCUCCCACCUCCGGCCGCCGUCGCGGCCAGGCCAUCGUGGCGGCGCGCCUCCGCGACUUCGCUGCUCCACCAUCACCCGCGCCACCAGCACCUUCACCCACCAGCACCACAUCAUCCAGCCACCACUCCGUCUUCGCCGCCAUCACCUUGGGCGCUCCACUUCGUCGCCGCGCCUGGCGCGCCCGACCAGACGGGCGUCUGGUUCCCCGCGCUACCUGCUGCUGCUCUCUCCCUCUCCGCUGCUCCUCCCCUCGUCUCCACUUCCUCUGCUUCUCUUCUUCUUCUCCUAACCCUGCUGUUGCUCUUCUUCUUCUUCUCUCAACGCUCCUGCUGCUCCUUCUCCUUGCAUCCCCUUGCUGCUGUUGCCUCAACCUGCUGCUUCUUCUCCAAUCCCCACGCUGCUCCUAUUCCCUUUCCUUGCUGGUGUUCCUUUACUGAAGAAAACAACCUGCUGUUGUUCUUUACUUGUUGCUGAUCCUGUACUUCUCUGAAUCCCGAACUGCUGCUUCUCUCUCACUCUUUUUCUUGCAAAAAUAUUGUACGAUGCCUUGUAAGAAUUGGUGAAUUGUCCAGUAUUAAAGUGGUUUAGUAAUAUUCUGUUGAUCUGCGAGUACUAGUUUAGUGGCUUGUGUAAUUUUGUUUGUGUUGUCACUCGUGUAACCUGAACCUUGGUGUAGUACCUUGUGCCCAUAUGUGUGGCUAUGUGUGUACUGUAGUUCCUGCGUCAACUAUGUUCAUGUGAAAAUAUAUAUGUUUGUGCUGUGAUAUAUAUUUGUCCCUGUCAUAUUAUCUUGUUUCUUUCCUCUGUUAGAUGUUAGAUAGUUAUAUAUGUGUCUUUGUCAUGUUAUUUUCCUUUUGUUUUAGUCUCUAAUUUCUC
This 5431-nucleotide long non-coding RNA is filed under the name Triticum aestivum (bread wheat). Its description in RNAcentral is "long non-coding RNA (TAES_LNC004517)". The record is from RNAcentral. Lineage: Eukaryota; Viridiplantae; Streptophyta; Magnoliopsida; Poales; Poaceae.